CCUACGGGAGGCAGCAGUGGGGAAUAUUGCACAAUGGGCGAAAGCCUGAUGCAGCAACGCCGCGUGAGCGAUGAAGGCCUUCGGGUCGUAAAGCUCUGUCCUCAAGGAAGAUAAUGACGGUACUUGAGGAGGAAGCCCCGGCUAACUACGUGCCAGCAGCCGCGGUAAUACGUAGGUGGCGAGCGUUAUCCGGAUUUACUGGGCGUAAAGGGAGCGUAGGCGGAUGAUUAAGUGGGAUGUGAAAUACCCGGGCUCAACUUGGGUGCUGCAUUCCAAACUGGUUAUCUAGAGUGCAGGAGAGGAGAGUGGAAUUCCUAGUGUAGCGGUGAAAUGCGUAGAGAUUAGGAAGAACACCAGUGGCGAAGGCGACUCUCUGGACUGUAACUGACGCUGAGGCUCGAAAGCGUGGGGAGCAAACAGGAUUAGAUACCCCAGUAG
This 438-nucleotide ribosomal RNA is filed under the name uncultured bacterium. RNAcentral's name for it is "bacterial SSU rRNA". It matches the Rfam family "Bacterial small subunit ribosomal RNA", at positions 338 to 793 of the family's 1533-position model. The record is from RNAcentral.